RNAcentral lists this ribosomal RNA (196 nucleotides) under Aliarcobacter cryaerophilus. Its description in RNAcentral is "Arcobacter cryaerophilus partial 23S ribosomal RNA". It matches the Rfam family "Bacterial large subunit ribosomal RNA", at positions 1335 to 1530 of the family's 2925-position model. The record is from RNAcentral. Lineage: Bacteria; Pseudomonadati; Campylobacterota; Epsilonproteobacteria; Campylobacterales; Arcobacteraceae.
CUUAACGCCGAAACCCAAGGUUUCCUACGCGAUGCUCGUCAUCGUAGGGUUAGUCGGGUCCUAAGUCGAGACUGAAAAGUGUAGACGAUGGCAAAUUGGUUAAUAUUCCAAUACCAACAUAUAAGCGCGAUGUGGGGACGCAUAGAGUUAGUCGAGCUCACUGAUGGAAUAGUGGGUCGAAGGACGUAGGUUGUUA